UCUGGUUCAGGACGAACGCUGGCGGCGUGCCUAAUACAUGCAAGUCGAACGGCUUUUCUAUGGAAGCUUGCUUCCACUGAGAAGAUAGUGGCGAACGGGUGAGUAACACGUGGGUAACCUGCCCAUAAGAGGGGGAUAACAUCCGGAAACGGGUGCUAAUACCGCAUAGUUUUCUUGAUCGCAUGAUCGGGAAAGGAAAGACGGCCUUUGUGCUGUCGCUUAUGGAUGGACCCGCGGCGUAUUAGUUAGUUGGUGAGGUAACGGCUCACCAAGACGAUGAUACGUAGCCGACCUGAGAGGGUGAUCGGCCACAUUGGGACUGAGACACGGCCCAAACUCCUACGGGAGGCAGCAGUAGGGAAUCUUCCGCAAUGGACGAAAGUCUGACGGAGCAACGCCGCGUGAGUGAAGAAGGUUUUUCCGGGAUCGUAAAACUCUGUUGUCAGAGAAGAACAAGUUGGAGAGUAACUGCUCCAGCCUUGACGGUAUCUGACCAGAAAGCCACGGCUAACUACGUGCCAGCAGCAGC
This 529-nucleotide ribosomal RNA is filed under the name uncultured bacterium. RNAcentral describes it as "bacterial SSU rRNA". It matches the Rfam family "Bacterial small subunit ribosomal RNA", at positions 18 to 518 of the family's 1533-position model. The record is from RNAcentral.